Molecule: transfer RNA, 77 nt
Filed under: Desulfovibrio sp. X2
Lineage: Bacteria; Pseudomonadati; Thermodesulfobacteriota; Desulfovibrionia; Desulfovibrionales; Desulfovibrionaceae
Description: tRNA-Pro
Rfam family: tRNA
About the family: Transfer RNA (tRNA) molecules are approximately 80 nucleotides in length. Their secondary structure includes four short double-helical elements and three loops (D, anti-codon, and T loops).
Source: RNAcentral
CGGGGCGUAGCGCAGCCUGGUAGCGCGUCAGCUUUGGGAGCUGAACGUCGGAGGUUCAAAUCCUCUCGCCCCGACCA